ACGCAAUAGAUACCCCGGUAGUCCACGCCCUAAACGAUGUCUACUAGUUGUCGGGUCUUAAUUGACUUGGUAAACGCAGCUAAACGCGUGAAGUAGACCGCCUGGGGAGUACGGUCGCAAGAUUAAAACUCAAAGGAAUUGACGGGGACCCGCACAAGCGGUGGAUGAUGUGGAUUAAUUCGAUGCAACGCGAAAAACCUUACCUACCCUUGACAUGGAAGGAAUCCCUGAGAGAUCGGGGAGUGCUCGAAAGAGAACCUUUACACAGGUGCUGCAUGGCUGUCGUCAGCUCGUGUCGUGAGAUGUUGGGUUAAGUCCCGCAACGAGCGCAACCCUUGUCAUUAGUUGCUACGAAAGGGCACUCUAAUGAGACUGCCGGUGACAAACCGGAGGAAGGUGGGGAUGACGUCAAGUCCUCAUGGCCCUUAUGGGUAGGGCUUCACACGUCAUACAAUGGUACAUACAGAGGGCCGCCAACCCGGCGAGGGGGAGCUAAUCCCAGAAAGUGUAUCGUAGUCCGGAUUGUAGUCUGCAACUCG
This 539-nucleotide ribosomal RNA is filed under the name uncultured bacterium. RNAcentral describes it as "bacterial SSU rRNA". It matches the Rfam family "Bacterial small subunit ribosomal RNA", at positions 772 to 1314 of the family's 1533-position model. The record is from RNAcentral.